GUUUCUGUAGUGUAGUGGUUAUCACGUUCGCCUCACACGCGAAAGGUCCCCGGUUCGAAACCGGGCAGAAACA
Charadrius vociferus (killdeer) is the source of this 73-nucleotide non-coding RNA. NCBI's taxonomy places the organism in Eukaryota, Metazoa, Chordata, Aves, Charadriiformes, Charadriidae. The record is from Rfam.